Condylura cristata (star-nosed mole) is the source of this 364-nucleotide long non-coding RNA. RefSeq lists it as uncharacterized. The transcript has 3 exons. Lineage: Eukaryota; Metazoa; Chordata; Mammalia; Eulipotyphla; Talpidae. The record is from RefSeq and is a predicted model, not a curated record.
CUGGGAGACAUCUGACUCUGCCCCCACACGUUCCGGCUCCUGGAGCUCAGAGCAGUCCUCGGGGGGUCUCCCCAGAGUCUCACAGCCACCCUCAGACAUGAGAUGCGUGUGGCCAGGAAGCUGCCCUGCACACAUGAUGCGCUGAACCUCACUCCAUGCCAGUCGCGUUGGGGACCGGAGACACGAAGGCCACCCAGGCCUCUGGGGCUCGGCGUGCCGGAGAGCCGCCCCCGAGGAGACCCGCGUGGGAGUCGCGGGUGGUGCUAAGGUGGACAUGCAUCGUCUUCUUCUCAGCCCAGGAGCUGAUCCACAGGGUUGUCGUGUUUCCCAUCUUCCAGCUGCAGUUUCUCAGCCGUGUUUUUCA